This 304-nucleotide long non-coding RNA is filed under the name Nicotiana benthamiana. Its description in RNAcentral is "long non-coding RNA (NBEN_LNC028976)". Lineage: Eukaryota; Viridiplantae; Streptophyta; Magnoliopsida; Solanales; Solanaceae. The record is from RNAcentral.
UUCCUUACUUUAAUUUUUCCCAUUGGGUUUUGUUUUAAGGUUUUAACGAGGCACAUCAUUGAAUAGACAUUCAAGGGGGAGUGUUAUAAAUACUUCUAUUUAAGGUGAAUGUCUUUAAUUAGAGAGAUUCUAGAGUCCUAUUAUUGGUAGCUAAAUCAUCCUCCUCCCUAUAAAUAGAGGUGCAUUCUACCAUUGUAAAUCACUCCUAACAUUCUCUAAGUAUCAAUAAGAGGAACUCUGUCUACUCUUCUCUCUAUUGCUCUUGUUCUUGAAUUAUUGUUCUUGUCUUUUAUAUUAUUUCAUA